CCCCCAACGAACUGGUAUUAUCAACCCCCACCAGGGUUGAUCAACUUGCUGUGAAAGGCAUGUGGAACAAAUGAAGAGAAAAGGCAAGGAGACCCUAUUCCCUUUAAGUGUGCUACUUUUGACCAUUAAAAUGUUGACAUUUUAGUCAUUCAGCAGACGCUGUCAUCCAGAGUGACUUACAGUUGGUGCGUUCAUCUUAAGAUAGCUAGGUGGGACAACCACAUAUCACAGUCGUAGUGAGUACACUCAUCUUAAGAUAGCUAGGUGGAACAACCACAUAUCACAGUCGUAGUGAGUACACUCAUCUUAAGAUAGCUAGGUGGGACAACCACAUAUCACAGUCUUAGUGAGUACACUCAUCUUAAGAUAGCUAGGUGGAACAACCACAUAUCACAGUCGUAGUGAGUACACUCAUCUUAAGAUAGCUAGGUGGAACAACCACAUAUCACAGUCUUAGUGAGUACACUCAUCUUAAGAUAGCUAGGUGGGACAACCACAUAUCACAGUCGUAGUGAGUACACUCAUCUUAAGAUAGCUAGGUGGGACAACCACAUAUCACAGUCUUAGUGAGUACACUCAUCUUAAGAUAGCUAGGUGGGACAACCACAUAUCACAGUCGUAGUGAGUACACUCAUCUUAUGAUAGCUAGGUGGGACAACCACAUAUCACAGUCGUAGUGAGUACCCUCAUCUUAAGAUAGCUAGGUGGGACAACCACAUAUCACAGUCUUAGUGAGUACACUCAUCUUAAGAUAGCUAGGUGGGACAACCACAUAUCACAGUCGUAGUGAGUACACUCAUCUUAAGAUAGCUAGGUGGGACAACCACAUAUCACAGUCGUAGUGAGUACACUCAUCUUAAGAUAGCUAGGUGGGACAACCACAUAUCACAGUCGUAGUGAGUACACUCAUCUUAUGAUAGCUAGGUGGGACAACCACAUAUCACAGUCGUAGUGAGUACACUCAUCUUAAAAUAGCUAGGUGGGACAACCACAUAUCACAGUCGUAGUGAGUACACUCAUCUUAAGAUAGCUAGGUGGGACAACCACAUAUCACAGUCGUAGUGAGUACACUCAUCUUAAGAUAGCUAGGUGGGACAACCACAUAUCACAGUCUCAGUGAGUACACUCAUCUUAAGAUAGCUAGGUGGGACAACCACAUAUCACAGUCUUAGUGAGUACACUCAUCUUAAGAUAGCUAGGUGGGACAACCACAUAUCACAGUCGUAGUGAGUACACUCAUCUUAUGAUAGCUAGGUGGGACAACCACAUAUCACAGUUGUAGUGAGUACACUCAUCUUAAGAUAGCUAGGUGGGACAACCACAUAUCACAGUCGUAGUGAGUACACUCAUCUUAAGAUAGCUAGGUGGGACAACCACAUAUCACAGUCGUAGUGAGUACACUCAUCUUAAGAUAGCUAGGUGGGACAACCACAUAUCACAGUCGUAGUGAGUACACUCAUCUUAUGAUAGCUAGGUGGGACAACCACAUAUCACAGUCGUAGUGAGUACACUCAUCUUAAGAUAGCUAGGUGGGACAACCACAUAUCACAGUCGUAGUGAUAGCUAGGUGAGACAACCACAUAUCACAGUCGUAGUGAGUACGUUUUUCCUCAAUAAAGAAGUUAUCGGGCAAGUGUCGGAAAAAACGAAUGCAGUCGGAAAGGACUAGUGCUCUGGUCAAAAGUAGUGCACUAAAUAGGGAAUAGGGUGUUACUUGGGACCCAGCCUCUGUCCUUAGUGGCGUGGUCAGUAGCUGUGACGGACGCUAUUUGAAGAUUGUUGUUGUCGAGCAGGUUCCAUAUGAUGUUUUUGUAAUGUGUUUUGUAUGUAUUUUUUAUCGUUGAUUUCUCUGUUGCUGUCAUGCUGUUUCUCCAGUCUUGUUGUAGUCAGAAAUGUUGAUGCUGUAUUGAAUUGUGCUGUUCCCUUGACCCGGCAAUGGGUUGGGGUCCAUUUCAUUUAAAUUCAGAAAGUUUAGAAUUGAAAGGUUUCAUUUACUAUUAAAGAUGAGUUUUCCUUUGUUAAAUAGGUCAUUCCAAUUCACCUGAAUUUACUGAAUUUAGAUUCAAUUUACCCCUACCCAAAACGCUUCAAAUUUUGAUCAUGUAAAAAUUGUUCACCAAGUAAAUGUGAAUAAGAAGUGUCAGAAACAGCACAGACUCUAAACUCUAAACUCCCACACUCUUCUUCUUUACUGUCUAAAACCAGUCUGCCAACUACAAUAGCCUGCCAAAGUUACAUAAGGACACGGUUAGCUCCAGAAACCCCAAUCCUUGUCCCAAAUGACACCCUAUUCUCUACAUAGCACACUACUUAUGAACAGAGUCCUAUGGGCCCUGGUCAGAAGUAGUGUACUUUAGAGAAUUAGGGUGCCAUUUGGGACGUACACCUAGUCUCUUUUUGAACGCUCAAGCUCCAAAACUGUCCUCAAAGCUCUGUCACCGCAAACCCUGAGCCAUUAAAGUGGCACACACACAUGCUGAAAAAAGCACAAGAGUUCAAAGACUUUGAGAGCAAUUUACUAUAUGUGUCGAAGGAGUGGAAACCAGUCAUUUCCUUGACUUGCUACUGACUGUGGCGUUUUGAAGAUAUGGCCGCAGUUAGCCAAUGAGAUCCUCAGUAGCUUUUUAUUGUUUUACUCUCUCUCUUUCUAUUUUUCUCUUUCUGUGUCUCUGGUUUUGUCUCUCUCUGCUUCUCUAUCUCUCUGCCUCUCUCUCUCUGACUCUGUCAUUCUCUCUCUCUCCCUGUUUCCCCCAUCUCUUUCUCUCUCUCUUUUUCUCUUUAUUCUAUUUUCUUCCUCUCGUUCUCUUUCCUUUUCUUUUCUCUCUCUCUUUGUUUCCUUCACCCCUCCCUUUGUCUCGGUCAGCAAGGUUCUUGGCCGUGUUUUCGGGCCUGUUUUGCUUGCCUGCAGCCAACUAGACUAUGAAAAGUUCAUACGGAAUGUAAAUCGCGCCGUUCUGAUAUAUUUAUCUUUGUUUCCUGUCUUGGAGAAUGGGAAGUACAAAUGUGUCACCAUUCAAUUUCUUUUUCUGUUUUCUUUCUCUCAUUUUUGUUGUUGUUCUUUUCUUUUCUUGAUCCCUCUCUGUCUCUCUCUCUGCCUGUCUCUCUCUCUGCCUGUCUGUCUCUCUCUCUGCCUGUCUGUCUCUUUCUCUGCCUGUCUCUCUCUCUCUUUGCCUGUCUGUCUCUCUCUCUCUGCCUGUCUGUCUCUCUCUCUGCCUGUCUGUCUCUUUCUCUGCCUAUCUCUCUGUCUCUCUCUCUGCCUGUCUCUCUUCCUCUCUCUCUGCCUGUCUCUCUGUCUCUCUCUCUGCCUGUCUCUCUGUCUCUCUCUCUCUCUGUAUGUCUCUCUGUCUCUCUCUCUGCCUGUUGGUCUCUCUCUGCCUGUCUCUCUGUCUCUCUCUCUGCCUGUCUCUCUGUCUCUCUCUCUGCCUGUCUCUCUGUUGUUGUUGUUGUAAGGAACAUGUGCCUAUUUCUGUGACAUACUCUACAAUCUCACUACACCAGUUAUGUCUUGGUAGAUAGAAAACAGUUUCUGUGUGUGUGUGUGUGUGUGUGUGUGUGUGUGUGUGUGUGUGUGUGUGUGGGCAAAAAAAAGGAGAUUCAAUAAUUUCAUCCCUAUUCUCCAUCAACCAUCUUAUUUUCUACUGCCUGUCUUCUUUCUCUCCUUCUUUUACUGUCUUUCUUCAUGCUCUCAAUCAUCCAACAGAAACCAAGAACCAUACGCUCAUAUAUCUGUUCACUAAAACCUCAACUGGAAGAAGAAAUCCUAUACAGCUUUAUAUACUGUAGCAUGAGGGACCGGACAUUUUUGAAAUAUUUUCAACUUGCUUUGUUACGUUCUCUAUUCAUUUUGGGAAAGCCUUUGUCUUAUUAUGUUAAUGUUUUGUUUUUCUGUAAAAAAGUGUUUGUUUUGUAUAGGAAAUGACAUAAAAAAAGAAUAUGAAAAAAAUA
Molecule: long non-coding RNA, 3945 nt
Organism: Salvelinus fontinalis (brook trout)
Lineage: Eukaryota; Metazoa; Chordata; Actinopteri; Salmoniformes; Salmonidae
Exons: 2
Source: RefSeq, a predicted model, not a curated record